CCUACGGGUGGCAGCAGUGAGGAAUAUUGGUCAAUGGACGAGAGUCUGAACCAGCCAAGUAGCGUGAAGGAUGACUGCCCUAUGGGUUGUAAACUUCUUUUAUAUGGGAAUAAAAUGUUCCACGUGUGGGAUUUUGUAUGUACCAUAUGAAUAAGGAUCGGCUAACUCCGUGCCAGCAGCCGCGGUAAUACGGAGGAUACGAGCGUUAUCCGGAUUUAUUGGGUUUAAAGGGAGCGUAGGUGGAUUGUUAAGUCAGUUGUGAAAGUUUGCGGCUCAACCGUAAAAUUGCAGUUGAAACUGGCAGUCUUGAGUACAGUAGAGGUGGGCGGAAUUCGUGGUGUAGCGGUGAAAUGCUUAGAUAUCACGAAGAACUCCGAUUGCGAAGGCAGUUCACUGGACUGCAACUGACACUGAGGCUCGAAAGUGUGGGUAUCAAACAGGAUUAGAUACCCGAGUAGUC
Molecule: ribosomal RNA, 460 nt
Filed under: uncultured bacterium
Lineage: Bacteria
Description: partial 16S ribosomal RNA
Rfam family: Bacterial small subunit ribosomal RNA
Source: RNAcentral